UCAGUCGACUCCUACGGGGAGGCAGCAGUGGGGGGAAUAUUGCACAAUGGGCGCAAGCCUGAUGCAGCCAUGCCGCGUGUGUGAAGAAGGCCUUCGGGUUGUAAAGCACUUUCAGUCGUGAGGAAGGUAGUGUAGUUAAUAGCUGCAUUAUUUGACGUUAGCGACAGAAGAAGCACCGGCUAACUCCGUGCCAGCAGCCGCGGUAAUACGGAGGGUGCGAGCGUUAAUCGGAAUUACUGGGCGUAAAGCGCAUGCAGGUGGUUUGUUAAGUCAGAUGUGAAAGACCCGGGGCUCAACCUCGGAAUAGCAUUUGAAACUGGCAGACUAGAGUACUGUAGAGGGGGGUAGGAAUUUCAGGUGUAGCGGUGAAAUGCGUAGAGAUCUGAAGGAAUACCGGUGGCGAAGGCGGCCCCCUGGACAGAUACUGACACUCAGAUGCGAAAGCGUGGGGAGCAAACAGGAUUAGAUACCCUGGUAG
Molecule: ribosomal RNA, 478 nt
Filed under: uncultured bacterium
Lineage: Bacteria
Description: bacterial SSU rRNA
Rfam family: Bacterial small subunit ribosomal RNA
Source: RNAcentral